This is a small nucleolar RNA of Echinops telfairi (small Madagascar hedgehog), 148 nucleotides long. The record is from Ensembl. Lineage: Eukaryota; Metazoa; Chordata; Mammalia; Afrosoricida; Tenrecidae.
CUUCCGUGAAGAGAUGAUGACGAGUCUGAUGGGAGGUGUUGCCUUUGUCCAGGCGGCUUACUCUGUGCUGCGUUCUGUGGCUCAGUGUCAAGGGUCCUGGGUCAGAGUAACUUCCUAAAGAUGACUUAGAGGCAUUUGUCUGAGAAGG